AUACUUACCUGGAUGACACCAAUGAGUGAUUAAGAAGCUCAUGAUGUAGGAUAAUAACUUUCAUUGCACUUGGGAGGGGUGUUGCUCUAAGGUUUGUCCAAGUGGCAAAACCUAUGUCAUAAUUUGUGGUAGAGGGGAUAUGCUUUUGCGCAACCUUAUG
This 160-nucleotide small nuclear RNA is filed under the name Phaseolus vulgaris (common bean). RNAcentral's name for it is "snRNA U1". It matches the Rfam family "U1 spliceosomal RNA". From Rfam's summary of the family: U1 is a small nuclear RNA (snRNA) component of the spliceosome (involved in pre-mRNA splicing). Its 5' end forms complementary base pairs with the 5' splice junction, thus defining the 5' donor site of an intron. There are significant differences in sequence and secondary structure between metazoan and yeast U1 snRNAs, the latter being much longer (568 nucleotides as compared to 164 nucleotides in human). Lineage: Eukaryota; Viridiplantae; Streptophyta; Magnoliopsida; Fabales; Fabaceae. The record is from Rfam by way of RNAcentral.